AUCUUAAUAAUAUAAAAAAAAUUAUAUCAUAUUUUCAAUAUGUUAAUAGGUACAGUCCUUUAAGAUA
This 67-nucleotide transfer RNA is filed under the name Calanus glacialis. RNAcentral describes it as "tRNA-Glu". The record is from RNAcentral. Lineage: Eukaryota; Metazoa; Arthropoda; Copepoda; Calanoida; Calanidae.